GUGCUUCCUUCGGCAGCACAUACACUAAAAACGGAAUGAUACUGAGAUUAGCAUGGCCCCUGCACAAGGAUGUCAUGCAAAUUCAUGAAGCAUUCCAUAAUUUU
This 104-nucleotide small nuclear RNA is filed under the name Prolemur simus (greater bamboo lemur). The record is from RNAcentral. Lineage: Eukaryota; Metazoa; Chordata; Mammalia; Primates; Lemuridae.